GAUGAACGCUGGCGGCGUGCCUAAUACAUGCAAGUCGAGCGAACGGACGAGAAGCUUGCUUCUCUGAUGUUAGCGGCGGACGGGUGAGUAACACGUGGAUAACCUACCUAUAAGACUGGGAUAACUUCGGGAAACCGGAGCUAAUACCGGAUAAUAUUUUGAACCGCAUGGUUCAAAAGUGAAAGACGGUCUUGCUGUCACUUAUAGAUGGAUCCGCGCUGCAUUAGCUAGUUGGUAAGGUAACGGCUUACCAAGGCAACGAUGCAUAGCCGACCUGAGAGGGGGGUCGGCACCACGGGAAAUGGGCACCGGGCCAGCCCCCUAAGGGAGGCAGAAGGAGGGAAUUUGCACCAAUGGGGGAAAGCCUGACCGAGCAAACCGGCGGGGGGGAGGAAGGUCUUCGGAUCGUAAAACCCUUUUAUUAGGGAAAAACAUAUGUGUAAGUAACCGUGCACAUCUGGAGGGGACCUAAGCAGAAGGCCCCGGUUACUUACGG
RNAcentral lists this ribosomal RNA (496 nucleotides) under uncultured bacterium. Its description in RNAcentral is "partial 16S ribosomal RNA". It matches the Rfam family "Bacterial small subunit ribosomal RNA", at positions 28 to 506 of the family's 1533-position model. The record is from RNAcentral.